Molecule: ribosomal RNA, 408 nt
Filed under: uncultured bacterium
Lineage: Bacteria
Description: partial 16S ribosomal RNA
Rfam family: Bacterial small subunit ribosomal RNA
Source: RNAcentral
GACGAACGCUGGCGGCGUGCUUAACACAUGCAAGUCGAACGAAGUGGCGAACGGGUGAGUAACGCGUAAUCAACCUGCCCUUCAGAGGGGGACAACAGUUGGAAACGACUGCUAUUACCGCUUACUGAAGGAGGGGAUUGCGUCUGAUUAGCUAGUUGGAGGGGGAACGGCCUACCAAGGCGAUGAUCAGUAACCGGUCUGGGGGGGAGAACGGGCAACAUGGGACUGGGAACCGGGCCAGAAUCCUACGGGAGGGAGCAGUGGGGAAUCUUCCGAAAUUGACGGAAGGCUGACGGAGCAACGCCGGGUGGGUGAUGACAGGCUUCGGGUUGUAAAACUCUGUUAAUCGGGACGCGGUACCGGAAGAGGAAGCCACGGCUAACUACGUGCCAGCAGCCGCGGUAAUUC